GGUCGGGGCUGAUGGCUAAGUUUCUCUCUUGAGUUUAUAAGUAGGUGAUGGUGAUGCAACCCACCGGAAGUACUACAGAAGAAAGAGCCGGCUGGGAGACGAUCACGAGCUACAUUUUGGAUGUUAAAUUUAAGAUAAACAAGACCCACAUGAACCCUAUUUCAUGCAGCCAGAACUCUCCUGCCAGGUUUGGUCAAACCACCACAAACCAGCAGGAUCCCGCAUCAACCCAGCCCUGUGUACUCGCCUUUCCUGCCACAGGCUUCUGAACAGUCUGACCUACGGGGAACAAACGCAAAAGCCUGCCCCGCCAGCCCAGCUUCCCGCGUGGGCAUGACCACCUGUUUGCCAUCAAAGGCUGAAAUUCAAGCAAGAAAGGCUUCUUUGCCAUGUUAUUUUGUCAAGUAAAUCUGUCUACCCAGAGGAGAGGUGCUCUGACAAGUCCCUGUAUUACCUGCGAUGGAGGCGGACAGGAGCUGCUCUCCCCAGGACCAGAUGCCGAUUCGAUCCUGAUUAGCUGAAUUAGGUAGAAAUCUCCAGAGCCCUUCCUAAUGCAGUUCUGAUGGAUGUCCAUCUCGGCCAUCAAUUCCCGGGGCACCCAACCUGCGACAGUGACCAGAAAAACCUAGUAACGAGUCUUCAACUAUGGGACAUCCUCAUGAUAAAUGCUCUUGGAUUGCCCCGUGUGGCUACAUCGCUACAAACGUGCUGUCAGCAGACCCGGCAGCAUCAGUGUCCCAGGAGAUGAAUUCAACCACAAGACUCAGCCUGGAAGAGGACCCCAGAGGAGACCCACAGCCCCAGUCAACACUUUGAUUUCAGCCCAGUGAGAACCUGAGAAGAGCAUCCAGCCCCACGACACCCGGACUUCUGAUCUGCAGAAACUGAGAUCUCUUUGGAGGUGUGGCUGCCAUAGAAACAUUCAGUCCACCAGUGAUGGAGAAACAGGAGGGUGUGAGCCACAGUGCUCCUUCUCCAACAGCCGGCAAAGGAGGAGAAAAGUCUGAAGAUGUUGGAGCCAAGACAGCCAUGGAGUGGGGCUGGGCACAUCACCGAGCAGCUGGAGAAACCCCAUAUGGGGGGAAGAGAGUACACUGAAUGUGAGCACUUCUGGUUGAUGAGAGUAAACGCACCAGAGGGAAGUGGAUCCCUGGUCCACGCCGACUCCCUGCAGCUCCAGCCUGCAGCCCAGUGCCUGCAGGAUUCAGCUGCUAAUUCCAGGAACAAGAGUGAUGGUCCUGAAACCCAGCCUCCUCUUGGGUCUGUUCUCAGGAAGGUCUCACCCACGUCGGGUUGUAAGCCUGCCUGAAGCGAUGUCUCUACUGUCUGGGUGCAGAUGGAACUCCGGACUGAAAUGAAAAACACGGCAUAAUCAGAUGACUUGCAGAUGGAGCGGGAUUCGCCUCCAGAGGCAGGACCAGACAUGGAGUGACUUUCUCCCGCGAAUCGUGUGCUUCCCCAGGGUAUACUUGACAUCCUGACAUCCUGAAGACGUUGUUAAUGAUACUUGCUUUUCAACUGUUGGAGACCGUCAGCCACCGUAGCCUCUGCAGAAGCUACAAUGGGAGGAAAGCCGCACAGCGCAGCCAGGCCAGGGCUCUUGGGGUUGG
Long non-coding RNA from Camelus dromedarius (Arabian camel), 1610 nucleotides. RefSeq lists it as uncharacterized. The transcript has 11 exons. The record is from RefSeq and is a predicted model, not a curated record. Lineage: Eukaryota; Metazoa; Chordata; Mammalia; Artiodactyla; Camelidae.